CCUACGGGGGGCAGCAGUGAGGAAUAUUGGUCAAUGGGCGGGAGCCUGAACCAGCCAAGCCGCGUGAAGGAAGAAGGCGCCAGGCGUCGUAAACUUCUUUUGUCGGGGAACAAAGGGCGCCACGUGUGGCGUUGUGAGUGUACCCGAAGAAAAAGCAUCGGCUAACUCCGUGCCAGCAGCCGCGGUAAUACGGAGGAUGCGAGCGUUAUCCGGAUUUAUUGGGUUUAAAGGGUGCGUAGGCGGAGCGUUAAGUCAGUGGUCAAAUUGAGGGGCUCAACCCCUUCCCGCCAUUGAAACUGGCGCUCUUGAGUGGAAGAGAAGUAUGCGGAAUGCGUGGUGUAGCGGUGAAAUGCAUAGAUAUCACGCAGAACCCCGAUUGCGAAGGCAGCAUGCCGGCUUCCGACUGACGCUGAAGCACGAAAGCGUGGGGAUCGAACAGGAUUAGAUACCCUAGUAGUC
Molecule: ribosomal RNA, 459 nt
Filed under: uncultured bacterium
Lineage: Bacteria
Description: partial 16S ribosomal RNA
Rfam family: Bacterial small subunit ribosomal RNA
Source: RNAcentral